Molecule: ribosomal RNA, 253 nt
Filed under: uncultured bacterium
Lineage: Bacteria
Description: partial 16S ribosomal RNA
Rfam family: Bacterial small subunit ribosomal RNA
Source: RNAcentral
UACGUAGGUGGCAAGCGUUAUCCGGAUUUAUUGGGCGUAAAGGGAACGCAGGCGGUCUUUUAAGUCUGAUGUGAAAGCCUUCGGCUUAACCGGAGUAGUGCAUUGGAAACUGGGAGACUUGAGUGCAGAAGAGGAGAGUGGAUCUCCAUGUGUAGCGGUGAAAUGCGUAGAUAUAUGGAAGAACACCAGUGGCGAAAGCGGCUCUCUGGUCUGUAACUGACGCUGAGGUUCGAAAGCGUGGGUAGCAAACAGG